GGUUUCUAAAUAGGUCAGAAGUGACAGGUUCAGUGUGUUCAGUGAGCCAGAGCUGAAGAUUCUGUUACCAAAGAGACCAGAACCUGAGGAGAGGAAGUAGCCUGACAGGAAGUUGGGGGGGGGGGCAGUUGGUGAGUGAGGCAAGAAAGGGCUACUGACAGUUGAAGGUCUUUUGUCUCUGGGAUCUCUAAAGAGCAGGACGUCUGGCUCUGAGGCAGUUGGGCUGCUAUAGAAAACGGAUUGAAGGACACCAGCACCAGCACCAGCACCACCUUAACUACCACCAGCACCAGCACCAGCACCAGCACCAGCACCACUACUACUACUACUACUACUACUACUACUACUACUACUACUACUACUACUACUACUUCUACUACUACUACUACUACUGCUGCUGCUGCUGCUACUACUACUACUACUACUACUACUACUACUACUACUACUACUACUACUACUACUACUACUACUACUACUGCUAUUGCUACUGCUACUGCUACUGCUACUGCUACUACUACUACUCCCUNNNNNNNNNNNNNNNNNNNNNNNNNNNNNNNNNNNNNNNNNNNNNNNNNNNNNNNNNNNNNNNNNNNNNUCAUUUUAUCCUCAUGACAGUCUUGAGAAAUAAGUGCUCCUAUUAUCCCCAUUUUACAUAAAAAAACUGAAGCAGAGACAAAUUAAGUGACUUGUCUAGACUCAUACAGCAAGUAUGUGAUGUCCGAUUUGAACUUGGAUCUUCCUGACUUGGUUCAGUUCUCUAUCCACUGUUCUGAAAAAGCCUAAUUUUAGGGCUUGAAGGAACUUUAAAUGUCAUCUAGUUCACCCAUCCCCUAUUCUUUAUAUAAAGAUUAGGAUUUUGAACCUCAGAGCUUUGCAGUGAUUUAAUCCAAAGUCAGAUAGGUAAUAAGUCACAAAGCUGGGAUUUGAAUUCUUCCUAAUGCUAGUUGACUGGGAGUAGGGAAGAGGAGGGGCGGGGUUUGCCUUUCUACAAUGUCUUUUCUCAAUCUAGGGCUGAUUGUCCCACUAGGCUAUACUUUUUAUUGCUUUAGGUGUAUGUUGUCAUAAAGAGGGCAUUGGGGUUUAGUGUUCAAGCACUUGGAUUCAAGACCUGGCUUUAGUGCUUAUUAGUUGUGUAACUGUGGAUAAGACAUUUCAAUGGUCUCCACCUCAAUUUCCUCCUGUGUAAAGUGAGAUCUUUAAGGUCCCUUCCAGCUCUUAUAACCUCCUGGACAAUGCAUACCACCUUUAUAGCAUGGCAGAUUCAAGAGGUUAUACAGAGAACAAAAUCAGACAUCUACAUUUAUAUUAUGCCAGAGGUGGCCUAAAUUAGUAUAAUUACUACGUUUAGAUACUUAAGGGAAGGGAGAUAAUUAGGAGCAAAAGGUUAUUUUUUGGAUAACAGAGACUUGAUAACUUGGCCAAGUUAUUUCUCAUCAUUGAAUUAAAGAGCAGUGUGCAAAAGACCUACAUUAUUUCAUUUAUUUUAUUGUUGUCAUUCUUGGGGAUGAAAGAAGAAACAUGGAAGCAGGUCCUAGUCUUUUGGGAUACUCUUUUAGUUCAAUGCGCUUAAAAAAAUACCCAAGGUCCUUGAAAAAUGGUCAUUCAUAGACUAUUAUGUGCUGAUAGUUAUCUUCUGUAAAUGCACAUGAAAGCAGG
Monodelphis domestica (gray short-tailed opossum) is the source of this 1656-nucleotide long non-coding RNA. Lineage: Eukaryota; Metazoa; Chordata; Mammalia; Didelphimorphia; Didelphidae. The record is from Ensembl.